UCCGGUUUGUCACCGGCAGUCCCAUUAGAGUGCUCAACUAAAUGUAGCAACUAAUGGCAAGGGUUGCGCUCGUUGCGGGACUUAACCCAACAUCUCACGACACGAGCUGACGACAGCCAUGCAGCACCUGUGUCCAGGUUCCCUUUCGGGCACCCUCACAUCUCUGCGAGGUUCCUGGCAUGUCAAGGGUAGGUAAGGUUUUUCGCGUUGCAUCGAAUUAAUCCACAUAAUCCACCGCUUGUGCGGGUCCCCGUCAAUUCCUUUGAGUUUUAGCCUUGCGGCCGUACUCCCCAGGCGGGUCACUUAAUGCGUUAGCUCCGGCACAGGAGGAAGGUGGGGAUGACGUCGUAUCUCACUG
RNAcentral lists this unclassified non-coding RNA (358 nucleotides) under uncultured Gammaproteobacteria bacterium. RNAcentral's name for it is "contains 16S-23S intergenic spacer region". Lineage: Bacteria; Pseudomonadati; Pseudomonadota; Gammaproteobacteria. The record is from RNAcentral.